AUUCUGGCAGCUUACGACAGCAUUACUCUGAAGAAGUAAAGAAGGAGGUCACUCCCCCGA
This 60-nucleotide transfer RNA is filed under the name Tigriopus kingsejongensis. RNAcentral's name for it is "tRNA-Phe". Lineage: Eukaryota; Metazoa; Arthropoda; Copepoda; Harpacticoida; Harpacticidae. The record is from RNAcentral.